CAAUAUCAAUUUAUCUGAAAUUUUAUAAACUUGGCCGAUUCCUGGUGUCUCCUGGUUUUAACUUCGUAAUGCAUAAAAUAAUUAUUUACUCACAGGCAGUGGGGUUUUCUGUUAUCAUUCUAUAAUCUAGAAUUGUACUCGGUAAAGGGCAGCACUCUAUUUAUCCCAGAUAAGGGAAAAAGGUGUCGUUGAAUAGCAGACACUGUAUAGAAAACAUGAAAUUAACUAGGAUAAAAUAUUUUAUUCAAGCAUUGCAGAUAUAAAACAAAAUUACCUACAAGAAAUUUCAAAUAAGAAGGAUGUAUGAUAUGAUAUGAUAGAAAUUUCUCUAACUGAAUAAAUAACCCAUUAGACUAGCUAACCACGCUAUGCCAUUCAGGAUGAGAUUAACCACCAGCAAAUGGUUAAAGAGUGUUGACAUUUAUAAUGACAGAUACCACGGAUGUUGCGGAGUCGGGGCGGCGUGCCACAAUAAUUGCGGCAAUCAAAGAAACAAACACAAGGCAUUUCUACGGUUAUAUUUCGCAAACCACUUACCUUGGUUAUUUUCCUUACAAACAGAAUCGUGGCAAACUGGUAAAUAAUAAAUAAGAAAGUGUAUCUCGAGUCGAAAAUAUUCCGAGCACUACUUGAAAAUAUCAAGAUUUCAGAACAUAUUAAGAACAAGACGUAAAUUGUGACAUGUUACUGCAUAUUAAUAAACCACCCAUAUAUUGUAGGGGUAUAAAAGGGGAGAAUUUGUUAGACACGACCACAGUUACAUCAGGUGAGUUCAGGAAUCCUCAA
This is a long non-coding RNA of Manduca sexta (tobacco hornworm), 786 nucleotides long. RefSeq lists it as uncharacterized. The record is from RefSeq and is a predicted model, not a curated record. NCBI's taxonomy places the organism in Eukaryota, Metazoa, Arthropoda, Insecta, Lepidoptera, Sphingidae. The transcript has 3 exons.